GUUUACAUAGCAUGGUUAUUAGCACCAAGUAGCCAUUCUUGCGUCCUUAUACUGAUUCAAAGUCAGAAGGCUGCAAAUAAGAAAGAGCCAACCAUUAGAAGAACAUAUUCCCGUCUGCUCCUGCUUGUUUCUCGCACUACAUGAUCCUCAGAGUGGAGAUAUAAGUCUUAAAGUUGCCUGCAUGCUUCAAGCAUAGAUAUUAGAGUAAAUGAAAGGGAUUGGAAACUUCCGUUCGCAGCUGGAAAUGCUAGUUACCUAUACCGUAUUAAUUUUAAGCCAAUUUGCUCUAAUUAAUCGUAUGUAAAAUUGAAAAUUGCUGGAGAAGUGAAGCAGAUAACCCUUCAGUAAUGUAGAGGGACACUCUUUCUACUUGCCCAAGUAGUCUGCUAUGGCAAUCAUGAUGUUUGCAGUUGGAAUUCAUUGUUAAUCAGCACUGUCAAUCAUUAAUCACCAUAUUACAUGUUUAAUUGUAUAUUUUCUGUAAUUUAUAAUCUACAUGAUUGAGAGUGUGCCAGUGACCUCCGGUAUGUUCUAAGCAUUAGAAUAGUGUGAUAGUUGAUGUCAUAGACCAUUUAGUUUU
Long non-coding RNA from Amphimedon queenslandica, 580 nucleotides. RefSeq lists it as uncharacterized. The transcript has 2 exons. NCBI's taxonomy places the organism in Eukaryota, Metazoa, Porifera, Demospongiae, Haplosclerida, Niphatidae. The record is from RefSeq and is a predicted model, not a curated record.